GAUCCUGGCUCAGAUUGAACGCUGGCGGCAGGCCUAACACAUGCAAGUCGAGCGGAAACGAUGGGAGCUUGCUCCCAGGCGUCGAGCGGCGGACGGGUGAGUAAUGCAUAGGAAUCUGCCCGGUAGUGGGGGAUAACCUGGGGAAACUCAGGCUAAUACCGCAUACGUCCUACGGGAGAAAGCAGGGGAUCUUNGGACCUUGCGCUAUCGGAUGAGCCUAUGUCGGAUUAGCUAGUUGGUGAGGUAAUGGCUCACCAAGGCCGCGAUCCGUAGCUGGUCUGAGAGGAUGAUCAGCCACAUCGGGACUGAGACACGGCCCGAACUCCUACGGGAGGCAGCAGUGGGGAAUAUUGGACAAUGGGCGAAAGCCUGAUCCAGCCAUGCCGCGUGUGUGAAGAAGGCCCUCGGGUUGUAAAGCACUUUCAGUGAGGAAGAAGGCUUGUGGGUUAAUACCCCGCAAGAAGGACAUCACUCACAGAAGAAGCACCGGCUAACUCCGUGCCAGCAGCCGCGGUAAUACGGAGGGUGCGAGCGUUAAUCGGAAUUACUGGGCGUAAAGCGCGCGUAGGCGGCUUGAUAAGCCGGUUGUGAAAGCCCCGGGCUCAACCUGGGAACGGCAUCCGGAACUGUCAGGCUAGAGUGCAGGAGAGGAAGGUAGAAUUCCCGGUGUAGCGGUGAAAUGCGUAGAGAUCGGGAGGAAUACCAGUGGCGAAGGCGGCCUUCUGGACUGACACUGACGCUGAGGUGCGAAAGCGUGGGUAGCAAACAGGAUUAGAUACCCUGGUAGUCCACGCCGUAAACGAUGUCGACUAGCCGUUGGGGUCCUCGAGACCUUUGUGGCGCAGUUAACGCGAUAAGUCGACCGCCUGGGGAGUACGGCCGCAAGGUUAAAACUCAAAUGAAUUGACGGGGGCCCGCACAAGCGGUGGAGCAUGUGGUUUAAUUCGAUGCAACGCGAAGAACCUUACCUACCCUU
The sequence is a ribosomal RNA, 976 nucleotides long. It matches the Rfam family "Bacterial small subunit ribosomal RNA", at positions 15 to 982 of the family's 1533-position model.